AUUAAAGUUAAUUUUGCUUUUUUUGGUUAAUUCUUUUUUGUUAAUUUUAUAUACUAAUAUUUGUUAGAUUUAAUUUUUGUCUUAAUGAUUAAAUUUAUAAUUAUUUGUAGUUUUUACUUUUGGUUUUAAAUAAAUUAAUUUAUUCCCAGUUAAUUUUAUCUAGGAUUGUGCAAGGUUGUGCCAGCACAUGCGGUUAUACAUCUUAAUCCAAGUUAACUUUUUUAGUUAGUAUUAAUUUAUUUUGUUUAGAAUUUAAUUUUUUUUAUAAGGUGAAAUUUUUAAUUAAAUAUAUAUUUUUAAGGUUAAGAUAAUACGAAAUUUAGGAUUUAAACUAGGAUUAGAUACCCUAUUAUUCUAAAUUUAAAAUAAUUACUAUAGUAUUAAUAGUUAAGAUCUUUAAAUUAAAAAAAUUUGGCGGUAAUUUAGUCCUUUCAGAGGAACC
Molecule: ribosomal RNA, 442 nt
Filed under: Melucha chapadana
Lineage: Eukaryota; Metazoa; Arthropoda; Insecta; Hemiptera; Coreidae
Description: partial small subunit ribosomal RNA
Source: RNAcentral